RNAcentral lists this unclassified non-coding RNA (345 nucleotides) under soil metagenome. RNAcentral's name for it is "partial contains 5.8S ribosomal RNA, internal transcribed spacer 2, and large subunit ribosomal RNA". The stretch from base 1 to 119 matches the Rfam family "5.8S ribosomal RNA", at positions 35 to 154 of the family's 154-position model. The record is from RNAcentral.
GAUGAAGAACGUAGCGAAAUGCGAUACGUAAUGUGAAUUGCAGAAUUCAGUGAAUCAUCGAGUCUUUGAACGCACAUUGCGCCCCCUGGUAUUCCGGGGGCAUGCCUGUCCGAGCGUCAUUGCUGCCCUCAAGCCCGGCUUGUGUGUUGGGUCUCGUCCCCCUUCCCGGGGGGACGGGCCCGAAAGGCAGCGGCGGCACCGCGUCCGGUCCUCGAGCGUAUGGGGCUUUGUCACCCGCUCUGUAGGCCCGGCCGGCGCUUGCCGAUCAACCAAAACUUUUUUCCAGGUUGACCUCGGAUCAGGUAGGGAUACCCGCUGAACUUAAGCAUAUCAAUAAGCGGAGGA